This 387-nucleotide ribosomal RNA is filed under the name uncultured marine stramenopile. RNAcentral's name for it is "partial small subunit ribosomal RNA". It matches the Rfam family "Eukaryotic small subunit ribosomal RNA", at positions 30 to 432 of the family's 1831-position model. The record is from RNAcentral.
GCUUGUCUCAAAGAUUAAGCCAUGCAUAUCUAAGAAUAACUAACAUUAUCUUGAAUCUGUGAAUGGCUCAUUAUAUCAGUUAUAGUUUACAUGAUAGUCAAUACUACUUGGAUAACCGUAGUAAUUCUAGAGCUAAUACAUGCGCCAAGUCCCGUCUUACGUCGGGAUGUAUUUAUUAGAUUUCAAUCAACACUUUUUGCUGACUCAUGAUAACUUAGCGGAUCGCAGAGGCCUCGCGCCGGCGACAAAUCAUUCAAGUUUCUGCCCUAUCAGCUUUCGAUGGUAGUGUAUUGGACUACCAUGGCAUUCACGGGUAACGGAGGAUUAGGGUUCGAUUCCGGAGAGGGAGCCUGAGAAAUGGCUACCACAUCCAAGGAAGGCAGCAGG